CUGGUUGUCUGCACUAGGUGCUCUGCUUAAUUUGGACUCCUCUUAUUUUACAGGGUAACCCUAAAUGUCCCAUGCUGUUCUGGAUACUGGAUCAUGAAGGAAUCAUUCCUUUUCCAUCAGAGUAAUAUCUUGUUCUGCAACUAAGGAAUUAUAUAUACCUGAGUAAAAACGAGAGGCUGGAAUCAUACAGGUGCAAAGGAAUUCCUCCUGGUAGGGUUAACUGAAAAUCCUAAUUUGCAGAUCCCACUCUUUUUGCUUGUCACUCUGAUUUAUUUCAUCACUUUGUUGGAUAAUUUGGGUAUAAUUAUUUUAAUCUGGUUAAAUGCCCAACUUCAUACUCCAAUGUACUUCUUCCUUGGCAACCUCUCCUUUUGUGAUAUCUGCUACUCUACUGUCUUUGCUCCUAAGAUGCUAGUCAAUUUCCUAUCAAAACAUAAGUCCAGUACAUUUUCUGGCUGUGUUCUACAGAGUUUCCCUUUUGCAGUAUAUGUAACCACAAAGGACAUUCUCCUGUCCAUGAUGGCUUAUGACCAUUACGUGGCCAUAGCUAAUCCCUUGUUGUAUACAGUCAUUAUGGCCCAAAAAGUUUGUAUUCAGAUGGUCCUUGCUUCUUACUUAGGUGGGCUCAUUAAUUCCCUGACACACACAAUAGGUUUGCUCAAAUUAGACUUCUGUGGUCCUAAUAUUGUGAAUCAUUAUUUCUGUGAUGUUCCUCCUCUUCUGAGGCUUUCUUGCUCUGAUGCUCAUAUCAAUGAAAUGCUGCCCUUGGUCUUCUCUGGGCUCAUUGCAAUGUUCACUUUCAUUGUCAUUAUGGUGUCUUAUAUCUGCAUCAUCAUUGCCAUCCAGAGAAUCCAUGCAGCUGAGGGAAGGUACAAAGCCUUCUCCACUUGUGUCUCCCACCUAACCACGGUGACCUUAUUCUAUGGGUCUGUUUCUUUUAGUUAUAUCCAGCCAAGUUCUCAGUAUUCCUUGGAACAGGAGAAGGUCUUGGCUGUGUUUUAUACACUGGUGAUCCCCAUGCUAAACCCACUUAUUUAUAGCCUGAGAAAUAAGGAUGUAAAAGAUGCAGCCAAAAGGUUGAUAUGGUGGGGGAAAAACCCCACUUGACUCAGUCCUGCAUAUAGCUUUGCUAACCUAACAUUUACCUGCAAAUAUAUGGCCUAUCUUUAAAAUGAUAUCAAACAAUUAUAAAUAAAACUAUACUCCAGAUGCUCUUGUACAGUUUGGAUCAGGAAUGAUGAGUUUGACUUGAAGACUGAAAAUCACUUUAUUUCACAAUUUAUUGUGUUGAUGACUUAAUAAAAUCAUUAUUUCAAAAGAUGAGACUUUUUUUUUCUAACAGAUUUUCAUGCUGAACUCUGAAAAAGCUCACCAUGGAUUUAAAGAAGGUGUCACUGAUUCAAAUCAAAGUAAUACUCUAACAAUAGGUGUUUAUUAAUUCAUCUCAGAGGAAAUUUUCAGAUAAAAAUUCACAUGUUCCCAUGGUAUGACUUUCUUAGAUUAUACUAUUAUGUCUUAUUCUAAAAGGGCUGUC
Molecule: long non-coding RNA, 1534 nt
Organism: Homo sapiens (human)
Lineage: Eukaryota; Metazoa; Chordata; Mammalia; Primates; Hominidae
Source: Ensembl